RNAcentral lists this ribosomal RNA (496 nucleotides) under uncultured bacterium. RNAcentral describes it as "partial 16S ribosomal RNA". It matches the Rfam family "Bacterial small subunit ribosomal RNA", at positions 28 to 506 of the family's 1533-position model. The record is from RNAcentral.
GAUGAACGCUGGCGGCGUGCCUAAUACAUGCAAGUCGAGCGAACAGACGAGGAGCUUGCUCCUCUGACGUUAGCGGCGGACGGGUGAGUAACACGUGGAUAACCUACCUAUAAGACUGGGAUAACUUCGGGAAACCGGAGCUAAUACCGGAUAAUAUAUUGAACCGCAUGGUUCAAUAGUGAAAGACGGUUUUGCUGUCACUUAUAGAUGGAUCCGCGCCGCAUUAGCUAGUUGGUAAGGUAACGGCUUACCAAGGCAACGAUGCGUAGCCGACCUGAGAGGGUGAUCGGCCACACUGGAACUGAGACACGGUCCAGACUCCUACGGGAGGCAGCAGUAGGGAAUCUUCCGAAAUGGGCGAAAGCCUGACGGAGCAACGCCGCGUGAGUGAUGAAGGUCUUCGGAUCGUAAAACUCUGUUAUUAGGGAAGAACAAAUGUGUAAGUAACUAUGCACGUCUUGACGGUACCUAAGCAGAAAGCCACGGCUAACUACGU